This 199-nucleotide long non-coding RNA is filed under the name Hordeum vulgare. RNAcentral's name for it is "long non-coding RNA (HVUL_LNC008669)". Lineage: Eukaryota; Viridiplantae; Streptophyta; Magnoliopsida; Poales; Poaceae. The record is from RNAcentral.
UUGUUUCGGAGGCAAUUUCUCCUAAGCUCGUCGUUUCGGAGGCAAUUUCUCCUAAGCUUGUCGCCAUAGGAGUCGAGGAAUAAACGUCGGAGCUCUAUCAAAUCCAUCCUAAGAAGCGCCAACAUCCGCCCAAGUGUCUCCCAGGAUUAACAUCCUAACCUAUAUAUUAGCUAGAUUUGAGACACCGGGAUUCUCCUCC